This 508-nucleotide ribosomal RNA is filed under the name uncultured glomeraceous AM fungus. RNAcentral describes it as "SSU rRNA". It matches the Rfam family "Eukaryotic small subunit ribosomal RNA", at positions 569 to 1078 of the family's 1831-position model. Lineage: Eukaryota; Fungi; Glomeromycota; Glomeromycetes; Glomerales; Glomeraceae. The record is from RNAcentral.
AGCAGCCGCGGUAAUUCCAGCUCCAAUAGCGUAUAUUAAAGUUGUUGCAGUUAAAAAGCUCGUAGUUGAAUUUCGGGGUUAGUAGGUUGGUCAUGCCUCUGGUAUGUACUGGUCUCACUGAUUCCUCCUUCCUGAUGAUCCGUAAUGCCAUUAAUUUGGUGUUGCGGGGAAUUUGGACUGUUACUUUGAAAAAAUUAGAGUGUUUAAAGCAAGCUAACGCUUGAAUACAUUAGCAUGGAAUAAUGAAAUAGGACGUUCGACCCUAUUUUGUUGGUUUCUAGGAUCGACGUAAUGAUUAAUAGGGAUAGUUGGGGGUAUUAGUAUUCAAUUGUCAGAGGUGAAAUUCUUGGAUUUAUUGAAGACUAACUACUGCGAAAGCAUUUGCCAAGGAUGUUUUCAUUAAUCAAGAACGAAAGUUAGGGGAUCGAAGACGAUCAGAUACCGUCGUAGUCUUAACCAUAAACUAUGCCGACUAGGGAUCGGAUGAUGUUAAUUUUUUAAUGACUCA